GAUCUGGCUCAGGAUGAACGCUAGCUACAGGCUUAACACAUGCAAGUCGAGGGGCAGCAUGAAAGGAACUUCGGUUCUUUUUGAUGGCGACCGGCGCACGGGUGCGUAACGCGUAUCGAACCUGCCUCAUACUCGGGGAUAGCCUUGCGAAAGUAAGAUUAAUACCCGGCGGUCUCGGACGGCCGCAUGACAGUCCGAGUGAAGAUUUAUCGGUAUGAGAUGGCGAUGCGUCCCAUUAG
Molecule: ribosomal RNA, 239 nt
Filed under: uncultured bacterium
Lineage: Bacteria
Description: partial 16S ribosomal RNA
Rfam family: Bacterial small subunit ribosomal RNA
Source: RNAcentral